UCACGCCAUCGUCCUGGUCUGCCCAUGCCACGCCAGCCGCAGGAAAGCACGCCCAAGUCCCAAAGGGGGUUGCGAGUCAGCUGCGGGUGCUCGCGUUCGAGCGGGGCAAGGGGAGGCUUUGGAGACGCACUCGUCGGCUGUGAGCGUGUGCGGGUGGGUCAGUCAGUCUGUGGACCUCGCUGAGGUGCAUCAGAGCUCGCACGCACCCAUUUUUCUGGUUGUCGAGGUGGGUGUACUCGUCGAGGAGGCGAGGAGAGCGACUUGGACGGGUCAACUCGCUCAGACUGAGUCGCUUGCGUAUGGACAAUUUUUAGUACUGCACUCAGAUGCUGCCA
Molecule: unclassified non-coding RNA, 335 nt
Filed under: Rhodotorula toruloides
Lineage: Eukaryota; Fungi; Basidiomycota; Microbotryomycetes; Sporidiobolales; Sporidiobolaceae
Source: RNAcentral